Molecule: ribosomal RNA, 490 nt
Filed under: Cristimenes zanzibaricus
Lineage: Eukaryota; Metazoa; Arthropoda; Malacostraca; Decapoda; Palaemonidae
Description: partial small subunit ribosomal RNA
Source: RNAcentral
AGGUGAAAUUUUAAGUUUAAAUUGAAAUAAUAUAAUACUUAAUUGGUUUAGAAGCUAUUAAUAUUUAGAUAUAAACUAGGAUUAGAUACCCUAUUAUACUAGUAUGUGAAAUUAUUUGCCUGGGUAGUAAUUAGUUAUGGUCUUUAAAUCUAAAGGAUUUGGCGGUGUCUAAGUCUAGUUAGAGGAACCUGCACUUUAAACGAUAUUCCACGAAAUAUCUUACUUUAUUUUGUUUAUCAACCUAUAUAUCGUCAUUAUAAAAUAAUAUUUAAAAUUAUUUAUUGAAAUAAAAGUUUUUAAAUAUAUUAGAUCAAGGUGUAGUCAAUAGUAAAGUAGAUGUGGGUUACAAUAUAUUAUAUAUAAUAUGGAUGAGAUUUUGAAAUAGGUCUUGGAAGGUGGAUUUAAUAGUAAGUGUAUUUUAAUAUGGUACAUUGAUAAAAGCUCUGAGAUAUGUACAUAUCGCCCGUCGCUCUUGUUUUAAAAUGAGAUA